UCGGGAAUGCCCUCGUGGCUUAACCUGCAACCCACUGUUGUCCUGAAGCCUUUGUUUCUUUGGCGGGUGCGGACCGGAGACGGUUUGCCCCGCCAGAGUUCAUCUCAAACUCGUUUGUAAACGUGUCUUCUGAAAUCAAAUAUCAAUAAAAGCA
RNAcentral lists this unclassified non-coding RNA (154 nucleotides) under uncultured fungus. Its description in RNAcentral is "sequence contains ITS1, 5.8S rRNA gene". The record is from RNAcentral. Lineage: Eukaryota; Fungi.